This 19-nucleotide small nuclear RNA is filed under the name Arabidopsis thaliana (thale cress). RNAcentral describes it as "snRNA_07019". Lineage: Eukaryota; Viridiplantae; Streptophyta; Magnoliopsida; Brassicales; Brassicaceae. The record is from RNAcentral.
ACGCGAGUUCUAUCGGGUA